UAACUUGGAAUUUGCAGUCAAAGGUAAAAACAUAACAAGCCUGGGGGUAGGCCGCAGGGGUUUGAUCAAAGUGCACACAGGGCUGGAAUUCAUCGUGCAAGGUUAAAACAGAGAAAUAUAGCAAGCUUGAGGGGCAGGCCACAGAGGUUUGAUCAAAAUUGCGCACAGUAUAUCAAAUGAUAGCUAAAGAAUAGAGCUUGUGCAAUCUAUUUAACACCUCUUCACCCAAUCCCAAUAUAGCAGGUAUGUUGUUAUUAGUCGGAACAGAAGUUGACUGUGAUCAAGCCAAGUAAUUAUAAGACCAAGAAAAUUAACAAGAAGACACUAUAAACACAGAUAUUAAGAGAAACAGAUUUUUAUUCAACUUAUGUAACUUUAAUUUUCAAGGAGCAGCUUUAUAAUUCUCAACACCAAGACCAUACAACACCCCAGCAUACUUCUCAGGUGAGCCACUAAAAAAGCUUUCUUUCAACUUCAUGAAGGCACGAGAAGUGAGCAAACUAUCCGAACCAGCUUGGUGACAGAUUCCAAUUCUCUCAACUUCCAAAAGCUCAGCAAGCUUGUUCAGACCACCAUGGAGACUGUUGCAGAACCUCAUGAGAUGCUUGAUAUCAUAGAACACCGGGAAAUACAUUUUCAGCAAAUCAAAGAAGCCCGCUUGUGUAUCAGGCAGCUUCUGGCAAGUCAGCAUCUUCAGCAAGUAACCAAAAUCAUAACCACUGUGAAAGGUCACCCAUUGAACAUUAUCAUUCAGAACAAUCCCUGACGACAUCAACAGCUCACCAAACUUACCAACAUCAAUACCCUGCUCGCUGUUUCUCUGAAAAUCAAUACCACACUGAGUCAGAAGCUCAAUUGAGUCAUUAGCAUAGGCAUCUUUCUCCAAAUCAAACUCACGGAAGUUGAACUGCCAGAUACAUCCCUUGUCAGUCCCACAAGUCGGCAAAUUCCCU
Molecule: long non-coding RNA, 953 nt
Organism: Daucus carota subsp. sativus
Lineage: Eukaryota; Viridiplantae; Streptophyta; Magnoliopsida; Apiales; Apiaceae
Exons: 2
Source: RefSeq, a predicted model, not a curated record